RNAcentral lists this ribosomal RNA (253 nucleotides) under uncultured bacterium. RNAcentral's name for it is "partial 16S ribosomal RNA". It matches the Rfam family "Bacterial small subunit ribosomal RNA", at positions 524 to 776 of the family's 1533-position model. The record is from RNAcentral.
UACAGAGGUCCCAAGCGUUGUUCGGAUUCACUGGGCGUAAAGGGCGCGUAGGCGGCGUGACAAGUCACUUGUGAAAUCUCCGGGCUUAACUCGGAACGGUCAAGUGAUACUGUCGUGCUAGAGUACAGAAGGGGCAACUGGAAUUCUCGGUGUAGCGGUGAAAUGCGUAGAUAUCGAGAGGAACACCUGCGGCGAAGGCGGGUUGCUGGGCUGAUACUGACGCUGAGGCGCGAAAGCCAGGGGAGCGAACGGG